Sarcophilus harrisii (Tasmanian devil) is the source of this 672-nucleotide long non-coding RNA. RefSeq lists it as uncharacterized. The transcript is spliced from 3 exons. NCBI's taxonomy places the organism in Eukaryota, Metazoa, Chordata, Mammalia, Dasyuromorphia, Dasyuridae. The record is from RefSeq and is a predicted model, not a curated record.
CUCUCAAUUGAAAGCAAUAAAGAAGGUACAUAGGGAAGUGGAAAGAAAUUACUGAAAAAAAUUGUAGCCCUUCCUUCCAAGAGAGAGGCUUAUUAAUUACAGCAUCCUCAGUGGGUGAUAAGUGUCGUGCAAUCUUGCAAAUAUCUGAACAUCAUUGAGAGCAGAUAUAUGAUGCCCUAUGGGGGAAAUCAGAAACUACUUAUGCAGAGAGUAACAGAAUGACAUACAUCACCAGAAGAUAUAGAUUGCUUUGCCAGGCCAAAGGGUAUUUAUCACAUCUAGUACCAAGAAUCUGAUGUCAACAUCACACAAGAUCUGUCAGCUACCAAAGAAAGGAGAAGAAAACCUGGAAUAUAGAGGAAAAAACUUACAACUCAGAGUCAUCUCUGCAGAGAAACUAAAUAUAAUCUGAAAGAAGAAAAAAUGGACUUAAAGAUGACUAUCAGGAAUUCCUAAGGAAAAGUCAGAAACUUUGAAAUGUCUACACAGGUUCUUCCAACUUGUGCCAAGACUGUAACCAGCCAGCCACAUGCCCACCUCUGUUUCCUGUACUGGGUUUGUGCAUAGAGAGGAGGAUACUAUGUGAUACUGUGCCUUUGCAACUGGCACAGAGAUACAGAGCCAAAUCUUCCAGUUCUGUGAAACCUAUCUUGAGAAUUGAGGAUGAGUAUG